UGGGGAAUAUUGGACAAUGGGCGAAAGCCUGAUCCAGCCAUGCCGCGUGUGUGAAGAAGGUCUUCGGAUUGUAAAGCACUUUAAGUUGGGAGGAAGGGCAGUAAGCGAAUACCUUGCUGUUUUGACGUUACCGACAGAAUAAGCACCGGCUAACUCUGUGCCAGCAGCCGCGGUAAUACAGAGGGUGCAAGCGUUAAUCGGAAUUACUGGGCGUAAAGCGCGCGUAGGUGGUUCGUUAAGUUGAAUGUGAAAGCCCCGGGCUCAACCUGGGAACUGCAUCCAGAACUGGCGAGCUAGGGUAGGGCAGAGGGUGGUGGAAUUUCCUGUGUAGCGGUGAAAUGCGUAGAUAUAGGAAGGAACACCAGUGGCGAAGGCGACCACCUGGGCUCAUACUGACACUGAGGUGCGAAAGCGUGGGGAGCAAACAGG
RNAcentral lists this ribosomal RNA (429 nucleotides) under Pseudomonadota bacterium. Its description in RNAcentral is "Proteobacteria bacterium partial 16S ribosomal RNA". It matches the Rfam family "Bacterial small subunit ribosomal RNA", at positions 355 to 776 of the family's 1533-position model. Lineage: Bacteria; Pseudomonadati; Pseudomonadota. The record is from RNAcentral.